GGGACCUGCAGAUCGUCGCUGGAGGCACAUUUAAGGUUAAAGCGUUCAAGAAUGGUUUGACCACUUAACAUAAGAGUGCAUUUAGAUGAAGUUGUCAUGGUGACCAGAGUGUCCCUUUAAAUGUGAAAUUCACUUUGAAUUCAUCUAGAAUUCUCACUUUAAUGAAUAACCCUCUAUACGUUGAAUGUUGGGUUGUUGGAUACUAUCUUGGGCAUGGUAAUAUAGUCUUUGGAUCUGUGUGCUGAGAGCUGAAUCACUUGGGCCUCAGAGCCAAAAGUAUAUUUCAUACUAAAAUAUGAAAAUGUUAUAGAUGGGGGAAAAAAUAGCAAAAACAAAUUACUGCACCAUAGCCAACAUAGAAAAACAAACAAACAAACAAGGAGAUCACAGGAGCCUCCAUAGGUUACGCCUUGCGAUGAGUGAGAUGAUGCCUCAAUCCCAGUGAUGGCUGCUAGGACUGGACAAAUGUUGACAGUGGAGCUCCAGGCUUGUCCAUAAACUAAAGUAGUCCUUACCUUGUCUUAUGAAAUCUUUGGAUUGUUUUGGAAUUUCAAUGAAAUUCCAAUGCAGUCAGCAUUACUAUUUCAUAAAGAUUAAGAACUGACAGAGCUGCUUUAACAUGCAUUUACAGGAAACCUAGGUUUAUGUGUCCCAGCUACUAAUAUAAAAAAAAAAAUGACUAAAUUCAAGUCUUAUUCAAUUCUCCUGCCUGGCAAGUAGAAUGAGGGACACAUUGAGAACAUCACAAACAUCUGAAGUCAUAUAAAUACUUUGUAUCAUCCAAGACAAAUAUAUGUUGUGUCAUAACCCUAUAAAUCACAUUAUUUAUAUAUAUAUAUAGAGAGAGAGAGAGAGAGAGAGAGAGAGAGAGAGAGAGAGAGAGAGAGAGAGAGAGAGAGAGAGAGAGAGAGAGAGAGAGAGUAAAGGUCUGGACCCUGUGUAUCUUUAGGAAUUUUCUUCUUUUUUUUUCUUUUCUUUUGUUUUUUUUUGUAUGUUUAUUUCUCUAUUACCUGCUACCCCAAAUAUAGUCUCUCUCACCAUCAAUUACUGCUUAAUAUGGGCAUCAUACAACUAUCAAGUUUGAUUAAAAAAAAAUAGCCUCUUAUCACCAUAACCACUACAAUAUGUUGACUGGUGGACACCCUAAGUACCAUAACCAUUACAGCCUUUUGUAGUGAUUAUGGGGCUACGAGGCUGCAGACGCCAUCCCCCAAUGUGUUUUCAACUAGUUUGGCACAAACCGAGGAUUCAGGCAGCUGUGGCCUGGUCUGUAUUACUAAGAAGGAAGUUACACUUUUACAUCAGCAAAGUCAAUUUCAUCCACAUUUGAAUGGCAUUGAUUGACUGUGAGUGCCAGAUGAUGCCACCAGAGCAUUCUUAGUGGCAAAUCACUUUCCAACAGAAUUCCUGAUUGCAAUCUUUCAUUCUUCAUUGAGAUAGUGACUCGAAACAUCAAUGCAAGGACUUUAAAAUGGUCUUAUACACUUCCACCAUAUGAUAAAUGGUGUUGAUGUAUGGAUCUUGACAUGACUUAUCAUUAUAUUGAUACAAAAAUAUGACAGCACCCCAUUGUAUGUUAAAGUAUGGGAAAUUUAUGGAGGUCCUACAGUACAAACAGUUUCAGUUUAUAACAAAGUGUAUUUGUAAAGAUUUGUCAAACUUAAAGGGACACGCUGGGCACCAGUGCAACUUCAAUGCAACUGAUAGAUUUAAGCCUCGUUAAUAUGCUGUAUUUUCUUGUAUGCUCAAAUCUUUAUAGUUUUUGCACAAAAAUAAAUACAUUUUGUAGAAUUCUGCACCAUAAGCCUGCCUCCUUAGCCACGCCCCUCAUCCCAGAAAGACUUCCUUAUCAAAUGCAUGCACAGAGUCUCAACCCCAAAAGCACAGAGUGAGCUGCUUUUAAUUCCCAACCAGGCUGCAGACAGUCAGAUAAACUACAAACAGGUAGUGAUAUCCUUACUCCCAUUUGUCCUCUCAUUGUAAUAUAGGUUGCUUUGUAGUUCAGCUCAUUAAGUACUCUCAACAUUUAUUUAAUUUAUUCCAAAACUAUAAAGAUUUGAGUAUGCAAAAAAUAGCAUAUUUGUGAGACCAAAAUCUAUCAAAUGCAUUAGCACUUUUGCCCGAAGUGUCCCUUUAACAUGUCAUAGUGCAACAAGUGGUAUAUAAGAACAAAAGACAGACGUGAUUAAUUAAGGAGUAACCCAUAUAAAUCUACUACAAGCACUUUGUUGCUUAGCAACUAUACACAGUAUGUAUAAAUAGUUAUGACAAGUAUCCAAUUAAUUAUUUCCUUAUACCGUUCAACUGUAAAGUGCUUAAAUGUUAUUAUUUACCAGCAACUUAUUUUUUAGCAAAGAAUUUUAUUAUAAACGAAGCGCUAAGUAAAGUGCAUCACUAAAUAUACCUAAAUAUUACACAAUUUGAACUAUUCUUUGUAGAAUUGUAAAAUAAAAGGAUAUCUAAGAUGAACAUUUACCUGAAAUAAGGAUACAGUUACAAUAAAGCAAUUAUCCAUACAAAUGAUAACACAGUAUUUAAAGAUAAUCACACAAUACUAUUGAGAAGUUUUUAAAGGUUUACUCCAUGCACCAUGACUACUUAAGUGAUUUGAAGUGGUCAUGGUAAUUGGAUUAUGUUGAGGCAGAGCCUGCUCUGAUUGCACAAACAACUGAUGCAAGACUCUAUACAACUCCCCUCAAAAGAGCCACCUCACACUCUUGCCUCCACCCCUCUAUGGCCAUCUACCAUUCAGACAGCAGAGCAUCCUUGGGCACCCGUUUAUGUUAACCAAGAUGGCCCUGAUUACACCAGCAAGCAUACAUGCCAACUGUCUGGAGCUCUCACUCGGCCAAAGGUCUGUCAGCUACCUUGUACAAGUUCCACUGCACACUGUUCCUAGACAAGUUCACUCAGGAAGACCAAGAUAAAGUAGUGGGAGACUCCUUCCACAAGCUUGAGAGACCCCUCUUUUGUGACCAGCACUUAUUCCCGCUGGAAGUAUACUCCAUGUGACAGACUGCCCGAACACAUCUGGAUUCAUUAACUCUUGUACCCCUCCUGAUUGUGCCUCCCAGCUCACUGCUCAACACACCAUCCUGUAAUUCCAGGCAUGUCAGCGCCCCUGAGUGAAAUUGCAGAGGUACUGCGCACCUGACCGUUAGCAACCUAGAAAUCGACUUGAAUUUCAAAUUUGAUCACAUAGUUGUCGUGAUCUGGUAAAAAGUUCUCAGAGGGCACUCUCGGUCCCAGGACCACCAAAUAGAAAGCUAUUUGGAGGGGAGGUGAUGAGGUAAUGAGGGGGAGGUGAUGAAGCAUCAAACAGUACCAAGGACUUGAGGAAGCUUGAUGUACAAACAGAAAGCACCAUCAUUUAAAGUGACCGGGACUUUUUACCCAGCGAUCUGGAACACUGUGCCAGAUUGGUCGAUGCUCGCUGCCAAAACUUACCAUCCAGACCAUUCAUGCUAGAUACCUCCGAUCCAAGCGAUUUUUUUGGGGAGGAGGGAAACAGAAUGGGUGCUCCAGGGAGAGCUACCAGGUGAGGGAACAAGUUUUGGGAUGCAGGCAAGACAACCCAGUUUUUUUAAUAUAUAUACAUAAAUAUUGGGACAUCGACACAAUUCUAAUCUUUUUGGCUCUAUACACCAACACAAUGGGUUUGAAAUGAAACAAACAGGAUGUGCUUUAACUGCAGACGUUCAGCUUUAAUUUGAGGGUAUUUACAUCCAAAUCAGGUGAACGGUGUAGGAAUUACAACAGUUUGUAUAUGUGCCUCCCACUUUUUAAGGGACCAAAAGUAAUGGGACAGAUUAACAGUCAUAAAUCAAACUUUCACUUUUUAAUACUUGGUUGCAAAUCCUUUGCAGUCAAUUACAACCUGAAGUCUGGAACGCAUAGACAUCACCAGACUCUGGGUUUCAUCCCUGGUGGUGCUCUGCCAGGCCUCUACUGCAACUGUCUUCAGUUCCUGCUUGUUCUUGGUGCAUUUUCCCUUCAGUUUUGUCUUCAUCAAGUGAAAUGCAUGCUCAAUCGGAUUCAGGUCAGGUGAUUGACUUGGCCAUUGCAUAACAUUCCACUUCUUUCCCUUAAAAAACUUGUUGGUUGCUUUUGCAGUAUGCUUCGGGUCAUUGUCCAUCUGCACUGUGAAGCGCCGUCCAAGCAUUUGGCUGAAUAUGAGCAGAUAAUAUUGCCCGAAACACUUCAGAAUUCAUCCUGCUGCUUUUGUCAGCAGUCACAUCAUCAAUAAAUACAAUAGAACCAGUUCCAUUGGCAGCCAUACAUGCCCACGCCAUGAAACUACCACCACCACGCUUCACUGAUGAGGUGGUAUGCUUUGGAUCAUGAGCAGUUCCAUUCCUUCUCCAUACUCUUCUCUUCCCAUCACCCUGGUACAAGUUGAUCUUGGUCUCAUCUAUCCAUUGGAUGUUGUUCCAGAACUGUGAAGGCUUUUUUUAGAUGUUGUUUGGCAAACUCUAAUCUGGCCUUCCUGUUUUUGAGGCUCACCAAUGGUUUACAUCUUGUGGUGAACCCUCUGUAUUCACUCUGGUGAAGUCUUCUCUUGAUUGUUGACUUUGACAUACAUACACCAACCUCCUGGAGAGUGUUCUUGAACUGGCCAACUGUUGUGAAGGGUGUUUUCUUCACCAGGGAAAGAAUUCUUCGGUCAUCCACCACAGUUGUUUUCCGUGGUCUUCUGGGUCUUUUGGUGUUGCUGAGCUCAUUGGUGCGUUCUUUCUUUUUAAGGAUGUUCCAAACAGUUGAUUUGGCCACACCUAAUGUUUUUGCUAUCUCUCUGAUGGGUUUGUUUUGUUUUUUCAGCCUAAUGAUGGCUUGCUUCACUGAUAGUGACAGCUCUUUGGAUCUUUGGAUGUCAUACUGAGAGUUGACAGCAACAGAUUCCAAAUGCAAAUAGCACACUUGAAAUGAACUCUGGACCUUUUAUCUGCUCCUUGUAAAUGGGAUAAUGAGGGAAUAACACACACUUGGCCAUGGAACAGCUGAGCAGCCAAUUGUCCCAUUACUUUUGGUCCCUUGAAAAGUGGGAGGCACAUAUACAAACUGUUGUAAUUCCUACAUUCACCUGAUUUGGAUGUAAAUACCCUCAAAUUAAAGCUGAAAGCCUCCAGUUAAAGCACAUCUUGUUCAUUUCAUUUCAAAUCCAUUGUGUUGGUGUAUAGAGCCAAAAAGAUUAGAAUUGUGUCGAUGUCCCAAUAUUUAUGGACCUGACUAUAUAUAUAUAUAUAUAUAUAUAUAUAAAUGUUAUUCUGCGCCUAGGUGUCUGGUCGUUAAUAGAAUAACCUGGUCAGGUACAAACAUCUAGGUGCCAGAUGUUGUGUAAUACCCAUUGUUUACCUGGUGACCUCCUGUUGGGGUCCCAAGUAUAAUAGAGUGUCUUCCAAUAAAACAGUUCUUAUUCACCCUUCACUAAGUCUCGGCUAGUGUUUGGGUGAGCCUGCUAUAUAAGUAGGCCAUCCAAGUUCUGUUUGGCAAGUUUUCUCAUGGGAGUUAGCCCUACUCAGGGAUGUAAAACUUGUCAAUGUUACUUGUGGGAAUAAUAUUGUAAGGCACCCGAGUGUCUGGGAGUUAAUUCAAUUAUCUUGUCUUUGAUUGAGUUAUGUCCAGGACACAGGGUUGGGAUUGCAUUGUUCCUGUUGAGUACCCCCUAUUGAGAACAUUGGGAUAAAUAUGUGUGAUUUGUGACAAUAAACAUUGUUGUGUUACCCCUUCACUAAGUCUUGACUCAUGUUUGGGGGUGGGCUAUAGUUACUUUGUCGAUUCCUUCCCAGUGUUAGGGAGACAUUGGCGGAGAUACUCAGUCAGCAUACAGGAGCUACAUCACAUCUGUAUUUGCAUCAUUUCACAAACCACUGCACAUACAGAGAAAAUGCACUUUAUUGCCAGAGGUGUAACUCAACCUUUGGCAUGACCAUUAUACCAUUAUUAGAAAGCCACAAACUCUGAAGAAUGAAUAGUGAAUUUGAUCUAUCUCAAAUUUUAUAAUUUUUUUUUCUUCUGAAAUUAUUUUAAAUGCAUGGAAAUCAGUGUUCCUCUACUUCUAUGGCUACAUUGUUCGAUAAUAGAUAAUCGCAUACGCAUUUAUAGGAAAUCUAACAUAGAUUGUUAUAUGGUUUACUUCUAUUGCUGAUUUGAAUUUUUUUUUUUUACUUAUUUAUUUAUUUGUAUAUUUAUUUUAAGAAAAAUGUUAUUUAUUUUUUUUCUUCACAAUUUUUUUACUUUUGUAAUAGUGUAUAAUAUUUUUGUAACCACAAUUAUGUAUUUUACUUGGAAUUUAGUUUAUCACAAAAUUCUUUGCUAAAAAUAUUGCUGGUAAAAUAUAAGCCGUUGACAAAUGAAAAGUAUAAUUAUAUAAUUAAUUGAGUUCUUAAUAAUUAAAUUUGUUGAUAUGGUCUAUUGUAGUUGCUUAUGCACUCUUAAUUAAUCACAUUCAGGGUUGAACUGGCCUAUCAGGAUGAAGGGACAUUUCCUGAUGGGCUGGUGUAUAUUAGGGCUGAAGGCAUAUUCUGCAGCGGAAAAAAAAAAAGUAAAAUUGUGCACAUGGUGGACAUGCAUGUUGGGUGGGGGGUGGCAGGUUUAGUGGACUGAAAAGGGUCUGUGGCAGCCAUGAACUCUUCAUCCUUUUUUACAGAUCUGAAGACCGCUGGGGUAUGACGCCAUGUAUCCCAGCACACUGUGCAGUAGAAGAAAAACAUGUUUAAACAUGAAGGACCAGUAUUGUUUUUUUUACCCUAUUACAAAUUUUUAUGUAGUGCCAACAUAUUCUGCAGAGCCGUACAAUUGGGCUUACACUAUAAAAGGGUAAGGGCCAAUUACACAUAGUGAGGUGAGGAAGUCAAAUGAUCUGGCUAUGCCUAAAAGCAUGGCAUAGAUGUUUGGGAGGAGGAAUCACAGUACAUGGGAGACCGCAGAGGAUGGUUUUAGGAGUUGAGCAGUUAUGUGGCUGAGCAGAUAGGCUUUUCUAAAAAGUUAUGAAUGUGUUUUUUAUGAUUUGUAAGAAUUGCAGAGAUGGGUAGUGUCAAAUGUGGCAUGGGAAGGAAUUCCCUAAGCAGGGCAGCCAGUGACAAAUCUUGCAGGUGAGUGUCCGGGGGUCAGGGAGGAAGAACAAAAUAGUAACAAGUGGUGGAUUAAUCAUUUAUCUGCUCCUCCUAUUUUUUAUCUUUUAUAUUUAUAUAUAAUACUACCUAGGGUAGAAAUGUUACACUAUUUGAUUGGAGUGAAUAAUGCCUUAGUAAACUUUUUAUAUUUACAAGUCUCCCUCUUUACACUGUGUGAAAGAUCACACCUGGUCACUAGGACUGGUACAUGUCUCCCAACCACCACCUGCAUCCAAAAAGCAUUAUAAUCACAGUUACCAUAGGCGUGCGCAUGGGGUGUGCCUAGGCACACCCUAAUCCCUGCGGCAAUCACUAUGUGCCUCCCUCCAUGGGCAGGUGAGGGAGAUCAAAGAUCAAAGAUCUCCCUCACUGACCCACAGGCAGGGAGGGAGGCAGGAGAGGACCCGGGGAGUUCUUGUCAGCAGCUCCGCCGAGUUCUUCUCACGCGGUCGGAGCGUUGCCGUGGUAAGAUCUUGCGAGAGUGAACUCUAGCCCCACAGGAGGCUAGAGUUCACUCUCCACUGGACCACCAGGGAAGGCAGCAGCAUAGUCCCCCCGCCCUACAUAAGGUAAUAAGGGAGGGGGGAUAUUAACUAAACUGCCCCCACACAUUACACACAAACAUCACCCUUACACACACAGCACACACACACGCACACUAACAGCACCCUCACACUAACACCCUUACACACACAGCACCCUCACACUAACAACACCCUUACACACACACACUAACAGCACCCUCACACUAACACCCUUACACACACACACACACUAACAGCACCCUCACACUAACAACACCCUCACAGACACAGCACACACAUACACACACACAGACACUAACAGCACCCUUACACACACAGCACCCUUACACAUACACUAACAGCACCCUUACACACACACUAACAGCACCCUUACACACACAGCACCCUUAUACAUACACACACUAACAGCACCCUUACACACAUCACCCUCACACACACACAGCACACACUAACAGCACCCUUACACACACACACAAAGCACACACUAACAGCACCUUCACACACACACUAACAACACCUUUACACAUACACACACAGCACACACUAACAGCACCCUUACACACAGCACCUUCACACACACACAGCACCUUCACACACACACAGCACCUUCACACACAGCUCCUUCAUACACACAGUGCGCCCACACACACAGCCCGCACACACACAGCGCCCGCACACACACACAGUGCCUUCACACACAGCACCUACACACACACACACAGCACCUACACACAGCACCCUCACACACAGCAGUGUGUGUGUGUAUGUAUGUGUGUAUAUAUAUAUAUAUAUAUGUAUAUAUAUAUAUAUAUAUAUAUAUAUAUAUAUACGCGGCAUGUGUGUUUCUGCUUUAGGGUGCACACCCUUAUACAAUAGGCUCCGCACGCCUAUGGUUACCCCUCUAGCCCAUGCCUCACAGCCCUUUUUCGCAGCCAAGAAGUCACCACAAGCCAGCCGGGAAACCACAAAGGAACAUCAUGCUUGAUCGGGAGCAACCCAUAAACUCUCUGGAACUCUUGAUCGGGUUGCAGAGUUGCCACGGUCCGGUAAAACUUUGUCUCAAGAGCACCUUUAGUACAGAGGCACCUUUCUCACAGCGCUAUUUGGAGGGGUGACAGAGGAGGUGAUGAGGCAUCAAUUGACAGCAUAGACUUAAGGGAACUCCAUGCACUGACAGAAAGUGCCAUCAUAUUAGGUGCCUGGGAUUUCUACCCAGUGCUUUGGAACUCUGCGCCGUAUCUGAGGAUUGUCGUGGCCCAGUGAAAACUUCACCUCCAGCUAACUCAGCUAUGCACCUACGAUUGAUCGCUUUUUGGACAGAGUGGGUGCUCAGAAGAGAGUUUUACGGGGAUGGCAUUAGUUUGGGGAUACAGGCAUUUAAAUUAUUACUGUUACUUUAACUAUAUCCUCCCAUCCAGUGAGUCCUUCUGUCACGUCACUAAGAUUAUGUCCAUGUAUUAAUUUAUUUUAGUUAUAGCUCUGUUGCCAUAGUUCCUGGAACUUGGCAGUGGAUUGACUGCCCCUGCAGCUAGAUUGUGUGUACUGGACGUGUUUAGCUUAUUGCUUCAUCCAUUUUUGGCAACGAUGGUAAUGAGGUCAGUCUCUUGCAGCCAUUUGGGAUUAUAAUGUAACUGUCACCAGAAAUGGUGGAGAACUGGGAAGGGAAUUGCAAGAUCUGGUCUAAAAUAGUCCAAAUGGAAAUUCUGUAUUAAUGUAACACAAUUACUAUCUGAGUUAAUAUUGCUUGGCCCAGUGUUUGACAAAUUCUGGUAUGUUGAUUGUAUUUGUAUAAAAAAGAAACACUUCUAUCUGAUUUUUCUCUGGCAGUGUGAGUUAAUUUUGAGGUAACAAAGUUAAACGUCUGAUUUCUGAUCUAGUCAAUGGAACUUUCGUCCCCCCUCGACAGCCCUUGCGAGAUUUUAGAAGGAUUCUAAAUAAUUAAAGUAUGGUAUGGUUCAAUAGUUAGGAGGAGGAUGGAGAGAGUAUAACAAGUAUAUUGUGUAUCAAUGGGACAUAAUUCAUGUUUGCAGGCCUUCACUGAAUCACCAUUGCUGCGGUAUUGGAAGUAGUUUUUGGUUACCCAGGGUUUAAAGGGAUAUUCUAAGCACUAUAACCACUACAGCUCAUUACAGAGGUAAUUAUGCUAUACCUCUAUGAGUACCAUCUUCUUGUUUUGUUUUAUAGUCAAUCCGCUCUUAUUGUACGCAGUACUGGAGACCGUAUCUCCAGAAGGAUAUUGAUACUUUAGAGAGAGUUCAGAGAAGGGCUACUAAACUGGUUCAUGGAUUGCAGGAUAAAACUUACAAGGAACAGUUAAAGGAUCUUAAUAAGUAUAGCUUGGGAAUAGACAAGACAGGGGAAAUUCACAUCCCAUUGGGAGGUAUCAGGACGUGGUGGGCAGGCCGGAGAGGUAAUGAUGCAUUUGCAGUGUGCUGCCUGAGGACCGUUCCCUGAUGUGUCGCUAGAUGCGGAACACCUGGGAACUAAAACAGAGUGGAGAGACAGGACCGAAAUCUUGACUGUUGGAGGAUGUGGGCUAGCACAAUAUGCUCAGUAUUUCAUUGACAUCCAAGGUUGACAUGUACUUGUUGGAAAAUAUUUCCGCAUUAUCAAUGUGGCUGAUGAGGAAGUGAGCUAUGAGUACUGAAGAGACGCUAGUUUUUUGUCAAACAGCUCCAAAAUGAUUUAACAAAAAUGGGUUUAGAACCCCAUAGAGUUUUACCAGCAUAAACACUUUUAGUAUCAGUAGUUAGCAGGUCUUUACAAAGGAAAUUGUGAGAUCUGAUUUGUGAGAUCUGAUAAGAGACUGUAGGCACAACUAAUUGUUUUACUGAUUUUCAAAGGAUGUAAAGCAAGAUCUAUAUUGGCCACAAUCAGUCUGUACGCAGACUGCCCAUCUAAUCUUCUGUUUUAGUCUGCACAUAAAUCUGUUCCUCCAAUCUACUUUAUUAGUCUGUACCUACAUGUUUUCCUAUAUUCUGCUUCAGCAGUCUGAACGUCUGAACCCACAUUUAUUCAGAGUACCUACACAACUGGGUUCUUCUUGUCUUCUUGUUCUUCCUCUAGUCUCUACAAAGGUCCUUCCCCUAAUCUGCUUAAUAUAUCUGUGCACAGUCCUUUUGUCUUCUUCUACCAGUCUCUUCCCACAAGUCUUUCUCUAAUAUUCCCUGUCCAUCUGUACCCAGGCCUCCAUACAGAAUAGGUCCUUCCAUCAAUCUACCUCUACCUACUCUAUCCGUCUGCACUCAGAAUGAAGUGUGUACAACAUGAAUUACUUCUUCUGGUUUGGCUCUGCAGUUUCUGUAAUUUGCUCAACUGUCCAUUCACAAAUCUGAGUGUCUUUCUAAUUCACUGUACCAAUCCUAUGAAGAGUUCUUCUUCUUCUCAGCUGUUUUACUUAGAUGUUUUCCAAUCUUCUAAGUAUUUGCCUUGUUAGCGGCCCCUUUGCUAUGAGUCAGCCCUAACAAAUUGUCUGCAUGCGGUGUCCAUGUCACGCAGGGUGAGUGUAACUCACACUGAGCCGGGCCAGUCUGUAUCAUGCCACCCAAGUGACAUACUACAAUUGAAGCAUUAACUCUAAGAGGACUAAGUAAAGCAUGGUUUGACUCUCUGACAUUUAAACACUAAGAAGCCAGCCCCAAGGGUGAGCAUCAUAAUUUCAGUGAAACUUUGAACAAUGAAAUCACCCUACAUGCUGCUUGGCUUAAAAAAAACAACAAACGAACGAACGAACGAACGAGAGAAAGCGUGUGUGCGUGCCUGCAUGUGUAUGUAUGUGUAGAGACAGGGAGAAUGCGUUUAACAGGAAAUAUGCAAAACUUAAUUUGAAAUGACGUGAUUGUUAACAAAAUUUAACAGGCAGUGUUUAAAAAAAAACACAUUUCCCACACAGUCUAAAUAGCUUUGGUGUGCGUGAAAGACACAUCUUGACACUGCUGUUCAAUUUAAUCACUGUUAACAUGCAGGAACAAAUGCACAUUGAAUAUGACUUGUGGAUACAGCACUAACAAGGCACAUAUUACAGGACAGGCUGUGGCGAAUUUCAUGUUAAGAUGUUAAGAGCCAUAAUGAGAAGACAUAUGUAUCUCCAUAUACUUAUGUAAAGCUAAAAUGCAAACCUGCAAACCAGUAUAAUCUAAUUGAUAUAUUGGAUAAACUUGUCUGGUAAUAGAAGGGUUAGUAGGCAAAAGUGUAUGUAUAAUUGCUUAGCAGUAUAAGUAUUCUGUAGCAAAACUCACUUUGUAACUAAGGUUUUCAAGAGCAGCAGGUGUGUGAGGAGUUGUCCUACUCCCAAUGCGGGGAGUUACCUGUGACGGAGCCCAGGGUGAGUACCUCCGUCUAUAGUCUUUUUCUUUCAGGAGAAUGUCUUGGCUUCAGUGAUAAUAGCUUCCCACAGACACUAGCUGACACAUAGUGCUAGGGACAAGAAUUGGCUUUAUUUUCACAAACCGCAGUUAAAGGAUCACUAUAGUGUCAGGAAAACAAACUUGUUUUCCUGACACUAUAUAAUCCUUGGGAGACCCCCACCCUUAGAGUCCCCCUCCAGCUGGGCUGAAGGGGUUAAAACCCCUUCAGCCACUUACCUUAAUCCAGCGCCGGGCUCCCUCGGCGCUGGUGACCUCUCCUCCCCCGGCGACGUCAGCUCCCAAGUGCCGCGCACGCAUUCAAACAGUCCAUAGGAAGGCAUUUCUCAAUGCUUUCCUAUGGACAUUCUGCACGCUGAUUGCAAAUUUUGCAUCCAGCGUCGCAGAAGCGCCUCUAGCGGCUGUCAGGAAGACAGCUACUAGAGGCUGUAUUAACCCUGCAAUGUAAACAUAGCAGUUUCUCUGUUUACAUGUGAAGGGUUAAAACCUGAGCUGAAGUGUUCUGGGUGCCUAUAGUGUCCCUUUAAUAUAGGCACAAUAUCAUCAGGAGGUCAUACAGACCACUUCAGUGGUUUGAGAUGGUCAAGGUGCCUGGAGUCUACUUGUAUGUGCAGAGUUUCACUAUGAAACAGAAGAACAAUGGGUUACUAUCUUGGAGACUCUGAGUCUGGGAGAUAAAGUAAUUUGUGAAUUUUAUUAAGUCUUCAGUCUCCAGGGCGGCCAAAUGAUAAAAGUGUAAAAUACUAACUUAAACAUACGCUAGACAUAUAAAUCCCUGGAUAGGUCUUGUUGCCCCAAGCAAAGUGUCCAAAAAGGAUCUGCUUGGAUCGGAUCUGUCCAGCCCGAGAAACUGUCGACUGAAGUUUGAUCCCAUCCCAAUCUGGCGCUGUGUUCCAGGCUGUUCGUGGCUAAGUGCCAGUCACUUAAAUAGUCAGUUUUCUUACUGGAAAAGGAGGGCUCCACUUGACUCUUAGGUAAUGAUUGUUGCUUGGACCCUCUUCUAGAUCUUAAUAAGGAACAGCCAUUAGUUCCUAUAAGCAGCUGCACUGGACCAGGUCGACUUAGAGUUCCAUACAAUUUUUGCCUUGUCCCACUGGAGUUAUUGCAGCUGUCCUGGGCUUCUGGAACUGUUUUGUGGCCGGUAGAGGUAGCGCUCAGCAUCUAAAAUACACAGUAAAAUACAGAAUUAAUAACCAUAAACGCGUUUCACCAUAAGUGUGAUCCCAUUCUGAAGAAGCCACUUAAGGUGAAACACGUUUAUGGUUAUUAAUUCUGUAUUUUACUGUGUAUUUUAGAUCAAUAAAAGUUUUUUGGCUACUUUAUUGUACCAAUCCUCUUUUUAUUGCACUCUUUAUGCACUUUAAACAACUUUUUUUACCUAUUCCUGGCAUUUUAACCUUUCCUGGUUACUUUUACUUCCACUGGCAAUUUUAAAGUUCCAGUACUCCAAGAAAUCCUAGGUGGGGAUCAUACCACCGGCGCCUAUCCAUAGAGCAGUACCUCUGCUCUAUCUUUGUGAGUAUUAUUUUAUUUUCUCUACUACUCUCUUAACCUAUCACAAUUGAGAGCACUAUUGCUGCUUUUUAUUCUUCUAUAUUGGAGCCUUGGAUCACCAGACGGUGCUGACGGACGUAUCGCCGCUACAUAUCCUAUAAGCGGGGAUUAUACCGCUGUACGCUAUCCACACCAGAGCUGGCCAUAGCUCCCUCAAAUGUGAGUUUUUUACCUCUUCUUAUCUGCACAUUGAACCACAUCAAAAUUGAGAGCACUAUUGUUGCUUUCUGUCUUUCUUUUCCGAGUUCUGGACUACCAGACGGUGUUGACGGAGACCUCCUCCCUACAUAUCCCAUAAGCGGGGAUUAUACUUAUAUAUAUAUGAGUUCUUUACUUUUUGUUACCUAUCACACCCUGAACUUUCAUACUAUACCAUUAGUCGCCUCUACCUCUCUCUUGUAUUUACAUAUAUACGGAACGGUCUACACUAGACGCAUCCACAGAGGAACUCUAUCAAGUAUCCUAGACCAUCUAUUGGCACCCUAGCAAUACUUUACUGGACUAUCUACCCUUAUUUGGCGCAGCCCUUCCAUAUCUUUUUUUCACAAGUUAUUGGCUAGUUGGCUAACAUAGCCCUGUGCCCAAUCAUGUUCUGGUAAAAAAAAUCUCAAAGAUCUAAGAUGUUGAUUCCCACGUAGAAAAUAAACAAAAAAAUACAAAUAAAUUAAAAGUAUGAAAAAAAAUUCAAUAUUAUAAAGGACAUACACUUAUAGAGCAAUUAAUGAUGUACAAACUUGCAUGUGAGGUGAUCACCAUUAAAUGAAGUAUGUAAAAAGUGCAUAUUUGAUUCCUCUGCAGAUUUUAAGGGGUUACUCCAAGUGCCGUGACCACUUCAGUGAUUUGAAGUGGUCAAGGUGCCUGGAGUCUACUUGUAUGUGCAGAGUUUCACUAUGAAACACUGCACAUGUCCAGUUUAACCCCUUGGUUGCCGGAGGUGUAACUCCACUUCUGACAGCAUCAUUAGCCAGUCUGCGUUUUACCCUGCUCACACCAAAAUACAACACUAAAUAGCAUUAGAAGCCCACUAUUGUUAUGACGACAUGGAACACCCUAACAUCAUUAAGAGGUUAAAUAAAUUAGAAUAAUUAUUUUCAUAUUCUUUAUGAGAUGGCAGAUGCCUCCCUCUGUAGGCUGAUAAAAGCAGGUAAAUCUGUUUGUUUAUUUGUUUGUACGUUUGUUUUAUCUUUACUACCUUCUUCUUUAUCUUGCUUUCCAUAGUUACUUCGGGGGGAGACUGAUCUAUCCAAUCAAUGUCCUUUUUCUAGGAAUGCUGGAGAAGAGCAUUGCGCAUGCCGACAUAUUUACACGUGUGCAGUUGGAAGAUCUCUUCACCUUAAGAAGAGAGGGAGUGUUAUCAGUGUGAUCAUGCUUCUCAUAGAGAAGCCUUUUACUGGACUGUGACAGAACAUUGGUACGCCGUCACUUGGGUAUCAAAGGCUCCUUUGUUUGGGUGGGCUCUGGCGGGGAGCGGCCAUUUAGACCGCACAGACUUAGACCUAGCCACAACAUGGAGAGACAAGAUGGCGGUGAACCAGAGACUGUGUCACCACAUGGGUGGGGUUUGUGACUUUUGCCUUUGUGACUCAGGGAGCUGAGGCACCUAUUGUUGACUGUAUGUUAGUCCCUUUACCUAAUGCAUAAUGUGUUUUCAUGUGUAUGCAAAGUAGGUGUUCUGUGAUGGUGUGUCCUAUUGGUUAUUAAUG
RNAcentral lists this long non-coding RNA (15278 nucleotides) under Pelobates cultripes (western spadefoot toad). Lineage: Eukaryota; Metazoa; Chordata; Amphibia; Anura; Pelobatidae. The record is from RNAcentral.